UACGUAGGGGGCAAGCGUUGUCCAGAAUCAUUGGGCGUAAAGAGCGUGUAGGCGGCCAGAUAAGUCCGCUGUGAAAUCUCGAGGCUCAACUUCGAGCUGUCGGUGGAAACUGUCUGGCUAGAGUCCGGAAGAGGAGAAUGGAAUUCCUGGUGUAGCGGUGAAAUGCGCAGAUAUCAGGAAGAACACCCGUGGCGAAGGCGGGUCUCUGGACAGUUCCUGACGCUGAGGCACGAAGGUCAGGGGAGCAAACGGG
RNAcentral lists this ribosomal RNA (253 nucleotides) under uncultured bacterium. Its description in RNAcentral is "partial 16S ribosomal RNA". It matches the Rfam family "Bacterial small subunit ribosomal RNA", at positions 524 to 776 of the family's 1533-position model. The record is from RNAcentral.